This 622-nucleotide ribosomal RNA is filed under the name uncultured fungus. RNAcentral describes it as "eukaryotic LSU rRNA". It matches the Rfam family "Eukaryotic large subunit ribosomal RNA", at positions 23 to 673 of the family's 3401-position model. Lineage: Eukaryota; Fungi. The record is from RNAcentral.
ACCCGCUGAAUUUAAGCAUAUCAAUAAGCGGAGGAAAAGAAACCAACAGGGAUUGCCCUAGUAACGGCGGGUGAAGCGGCAACAGCUCAAAUUUGAAAUCUGGCCUCACGGUCCGAAUUGUAAUUUGUAGAGGAUGUUUCUGGCGACGUGUCUUCCGAGUUCCCUGGAACGGGACGCCAUAGAGGGUGAGAGCCCCGUCCGGUCGUACACCUAGCCUCUGUGAAACUCCUUCGACGAGUCGAGUAGUUUGGGAAUGCUGCUCUAAAUGGGAGGUAUACGUCUUCUAAAGCUAAAUACCGGCCAGAGACCGAUAGCGCACAAGUAGAGUGAUCGAAAGAUGAAAAGCACUUUGAGAAGAGGGUUAAAUAGUACGUGAAAUUGCUGAAAGGGAAGCGCUUAUGACCAGACUUGGGCUCGGUGAAUCAUCCGGCGUUCUCGCCGGUGCACUUUGCCGUCCCAGGCCAGCAUCAGUUCGCGCCGGGGGAUAAAGGUUUCGGGAAUGUAGCUCCCUCGGGAGUGUUAUAGCCCGUUGCGUAAUACCCUGGCGUGGACUGAGGUCCGCGCUCUGUAAGGAUGCUGGCGUAAUGGUCAUCAGUGACCCGUCUUAACACGGACCAAGGAG